CCUACGGGUGGCAGCAGUGAGGAAUAUUGGUCAAUGGGCGCAAGCCUGAUCCAGCCAAGUAGCGUGAAGGAUUGCUGCCCUACGGGUUGUAAACUUCUUUUAUAAAGGAAUAAAGUGAGGCACGUGUGCCUUUUUGUAUGUACUUUAUGAAUAAGGAUCGGCUAACUCCGUGUCAGCAGCCGCGGUAAUACGGAGGAUUCGAGCGUUAUCCGGAUUUGUUGGGUGUAAAGGUAGCGUAGAUGGGUUGUUAAGUCAGUUGUGAAAGGUUGCGGCUCAACCGUAAAAUUGCAAUUGAUACUGGCAGACUUGAGUACAGUUGAGGGAGGCGGAAUUCGUGGUGUAGCGGUGAAAUGCUUAGAUAUCAAGAAGAACUCCGAUUGCGAAGGCAGCCUACUAAACUGCCACUGACAUUGAUGCUCGAAAGUGUGGGUAUCAAACAGGAUUAGAUACCCCGGUAGUC
RNAcentral lists this ribosomal RNA (460 nucleotides) under uncultured bacterium. RNAcentral describes it as "partial 16S ribosomal RNA". It matches the Rfam family "Bacterial small subunit ribosomal RNA", at positions 338 to 795 of the family's 1533-position model. The record is from RNAcentral.